Molecule: ribosomal RNA, 468 nt
Filed under: uncultured bacterium
Lineage: Bacteria
Description: partial 16S ribosomal RNA
Rfam family: Bacterial small subunit ribosomal RNA
Source: RNAcentral
GACGAACGCUGGCGGCGUGCUUAACACAUGCAAGUCGCACGGAAAGGCCUUGCUAUUGUGGGGUGCUCGAGUUGCGAAAGGGUGAGUAACCUGUGAGUAACUUGCCCUCGACUUUGGGAUAACUUCAGGAAACUGGCGUUCAUACCGCAUAGGAACUCCUGCUCAAUGGCGGGGGUAGGAUAGUCUCGGCGGUUGGGGAUGGACUCGCGGCUUUUCAGCUUGUUGGUGGGGUAGUGGCUUACCAAGGCUUUGACGGGUAGCCGGCCUGCGAGGGGGACCGGCCACAUUGGGACUGAGAUACGGCCCAGACUCCUACGGGAGGCAGCAGUGGGGAAUAUUGCACAAUGGGCGGAAGCCUGAUGCAGCAACGCCGCGUGCGGGAUGACGGCCUUCGGGUUGUAAACCGCUUUCGCCUGUGACGAAGCGUGAGUGACGGUAAUGGGUAAAGAAGCACCGGCUAACUACGUG